Long non-coding RNA from Prunus persica (peach), 1148 nucleotides. RefSeq lists it as uncharacterized. The record is from RefSeq and is a predicted model, not a curated record. The transcript has 7 exons. Lineage: Eukaryota; Viridiplantae; Streptophyta; Magnoliopsida; Rosales; Rosaceae.
AUAAUCAUCCAUUUGUUUUUUAUUUUUAAAAGAAAACCUAAAAGCUAUUUCACUUUCCCUUUGCCUCUCUCUCUGCCUUGCGCCUCCCAGCCUUCUUUGUUUUUUUUUUUUAUCUCUUCCCUUUCCUUUCAAUCGUUCUUGACUUCUCUCUCCAAAGCGUUCAGUUCCUUGGCUCGCUAGAAUCUCGACGGCGUUACCUCCGACGACCUUGAUGAUGCCAUUCACAAUUAGGUAUUGGGAGGUGGCGGAUCUACAAUUUUCUCUUUCUCAAAAUUGCUAUAUCGCUCAACUCAUCUAUGUGCUCUCAAUUUCUCGCUCAAUUCAUCUCUGCUCUCAUGCUUUCCCUUAGUCAUGUCUCUGCUCUUACUCUCUAAUAUGACAACGCUAACCUCUGAAACCACAAACCCACCGAAGUCCCAACUCUCCUCCCUCUACAACAUUUGGUCUCAAAUCAGUCCAAAUUAUCAAUUUUUUAUGUUGCUAUGUUUGGGUUUCAGGCACAGUAAGCAAAUUGUUUCUCCCGACUCCUAAUUCUCCUUCAGGCUGUGAUUUUUGCAGAUUUUUGUUUUUUCAAUUUCUAUUUGGAGAGCAUAUGCAGAUAAGGAUUAUUUAUAAAGCAAAGACCAGAGAGUAUUGGGAUAUAUAAAGAUGUGGAUGGUGGUACAACAAAUAAUACGUGCAAGGCAAAUAAAAGCAACUAACUGAGAAUUGGAUGUUCACUUGGCGUUGUACUGCAGAAAGAGUGGGCAACUGAAAUCAGCAGCCCCAUUUGAACUUGUGCAACCAUAUAUGAAGAGGCAUCAUCCCCAUUCGAACUUCUGUAGCCAUGUAUGAAGAGGAGGAAGACACAAUUUUGAUGUGAUUUAUGUUGAUCAAGAUUGGUAUGAUUUGGGUGACUCCAACCGUGAAGGAAGUGUUAGGCUGGUAAUGGGCAUUACUUGGAGCUGCUAUGAGGAAAGUGAAGCUUCUAAGGGACAAAUUCCUUAUAAUUGAGACUUAAUUACUAGAUACCUUGUUUCUUUUUAGUAUGUUUAAUUUUAAAUUUAAUUCAUAUUGUAAUUGUAAUAAUAGUUAUAGACAACUUGAAUGUUGUAACAUUCAUUUUAUAUUAUUACAGUGAAUGUACAAUUUCCAGUCUUUUUCGGGAA